RNAcentral lists this ribosomal RNA (495 nucleotides) under Fusarium sp. 4 IDEA_FITOPAT_D018. RNAcentral describes it as "eukaryotic LSU rRNA". The stretch from base 171 to 324 matches the Rfam family "5.8S ribosomal RNA". The record is from RNAcentral. Lineage: Eukaryota; Fungi; Ascomycota; Sordariomycetes; Hypocreales; Nectriaceae.
UAACCUGCGGAGGGAUCAUUACCGAGUUUACAACUCCCAAACCCCUGUGAACAUACCUAUACGUUGCCUCGGCGGAUCAGCCCGCGCCCCGUAAAAGGGGACGGCCCGCCCGAGGACCCCUAAACUCUGUUUUUAGUGGAACUUCUGAGUAAAACAAACAAAUAAAUCAAAACUUUCAACAACGGAUCUCUUGGUUCUGGCAUCGAUGAAGAACGCAGCAAAAUGCGAUAAGUAAUGUGAAUUGCAGAAUUCAGUGAAUCAUCGAAUCUUUGAACGCACAUUGCGCCCGCCAGUAUUCUGGCGGGCAUGCCUGUUCGAGCGUCAUUUCAACCCUCAAGCUCAGCUUGGUGUUGGGACUCGCGGUAACCCGCGUUCCCCAAAUCGAUUGGCGGUCACGUCGAGCUUCCAUAGCGUAGUAGUCAUACACCUCGUUACUGGUAAUCGUCGCGGCCACGCCGUAAAACCCCAACUUCUGAAUGUUGACCUCGGAUCAGG